RNAcentral lists this ribosomal RNA (254 nucleotides) under uncultured bacterium. Its description in RNAcentral is "partial 16S ribosomal RNA". It matches the Rfam family "Bacterial small subunit ribosomal RNA", at positions 524 to 776 of the family's 1533-position model. The record is from RNAcentral.
UACGGGGGGAGCAAGCGUUGUUCGGAUUUACUGGGCGUAAAGGGCGCGUAGGCGGUCAGCACAAGUCAGUUGUGAAAUCUCCGGGCUUAACUCGGAAAGGUCAACUGAUACUGUGCGACUAGAGUGCGGAAGGGGCAACUGGAAUUCUCGGUGUAGCGGUGAAAUGCGUAGAUAUCGAGAGGAACACCUGCGGCGAAGGCGGGUUGCUGGGCCGAUACUGACGCUGAUGCGCGAAAGCCAGGGGAGCGAACGGG